RNAcentral lists this long non-coding RNA (4084 nucleotides) under Ananas comosus (pineapple). Its description in RNAcentral is "long non-coding RNA (ACOM_LNC039711)". Lineage: Eukaryota; Viridiplantae; Streptophyta; Magnoliopsida; Poales; Bromeliaceae. The record is from RNAcentral.
CCUCCAGGCGGAAACGAAGCCUAAACGUCCGUUUCUUUAAUACAUUAACACCCAACACUAUUCACUCCAAGCAACUUAAAAUCUGAUAAUUUUCGCCGGAGCUCUCUGAACGUCCGUUUGAGCUCAAACUUGACAGUCAUAUUUGGUUUUACGUACUGACCAAGAAUAUAUUUUAAGUUUCCAGUUUCGACCUCAUUUGGUCACCGAAAACUGUACCGAACUGUAAUCUUUAUCAGAUAACUGUCGGAUUUUAUUUCUCACUCUACGGGUGUCAGAAAAAUAUGAAACUUUAAAUCUAGCCUCAUAAAAAUAUUUCUGACUUAUCCUCCAAUUUUCAUAAUUUUCUGAGACUGUGCAUUUUCUGCUAAUUUAUCUGUCCCGUUUCCAACAGAAAAUUCUAGAUCUUCUGUUUUCAUUCCGAUUUCAGCACAAGUCACUUCUGACUUAUGUUUUACUUCUACAAAUCCAAUAAAAAUAGUUUCUCACACUAUUUUUAUUUAUUUUUAUUUUUAUACCAAAAUCUGGUAUGUUACAUUCUCCACCCCUUAAAAGAAUUUCGUCCGCGAAAUUCAAACCACGCCUCAAUUCAGCUCCAUGAGCAAUUGAGGGUACCAACUCAUUCUCCCACUCCAAAGCGGCUUCACACAAUCGUGGUUCCAGAAGCGGCUCAUACUGAAGGACAUGGGUUUAAUCCUAAACGCAUUUGCAAAGUGUGAUACAAACGUGCAUCACGGGUCUUGCAAGUCAUAGUGGCAGCGCAAGUCGGUACUCGACGACUCUACGCGCUCCAACACCACUCACCAUUCGAUACACAAAGAACUCUUCUUUGCACUUACCUUCCCUUCAGGGAAUACAUUCUGAUUCGAUCACCGACAUUGCUUAGAAGCAAUAUCACCGAUGCAUCGCUCCGUCAUGAGUGCUCUAAUUUCGCACUGACCCUUAACUUUAACGCGAGAUGGCCCACUUCGGCACAUCUCAAGUCUCAGUUCGCUUACGAGCAUAGUCUCCAACAUCACGUGGCUUUCCACUAGAUUGAUGUCUCACAAGGAGUACUUCAUCAUCUGAUACCACAUGCCACGAUCAACAUCAAACUAUUUUCGCAACGAGCUCACGCGAGCGCUUCGUUCGUGAAUUCGAGUCAAACUCCUCGAUAAGGCUAUCUGCCAAAUCGCUCUCUUCGGUCUCCACAGGUGGACCAAAGGCCACCAAUCCUACGUAGGCCUACCACCUAAACCUGUCUCAAUACGCAGCGUCUCUCGCUCGCAAAUGCAGACCCAAUCAUGAUCGGGCGAAAUUCUCACUUGGGAAUUCGCACACACUCCAACCAGGAGCAACUAAGACCCCAAACCACGUCAAGUCCUCGGGUUGGGUCACAACCAUACUCGGUGUACCAUCGGUCACACAAUCUAUCACGUGGCAUUCCACGCUCCCGGGCCUAAACUCGGACUACCGUCCUGACCAGAACUCUGCCCUACCCGUAGGUACCGGGCCGCUGUCACUCACAGCUGACUGCGCCUGCCCAAUGGGCCCAGGCUCCACAGUCCACAAAUGGUCCAGGCACGGGUCGUCCCCAAGCACUACCCGCCGUCGUCGUCCUACACGACAUACUCUACCGAGUCACACGUACCAAUAUCGGCUCCUAUGCACCUAGUGCGAGUCACCAGUCCCACGAGUGAUCCAUGGCACGCUUCACACCUAGCAAUGCUCAAGUGCUACUGCCAAUACACUCUCUCGGCUGAAUCCACAUCCGCACUCUACGGGUAUCUACACUCGAGCGCUCUACGCCUCUACAGCGUUCCACACGAAGUCCAGCAUUAGGCAAUCUUGCCUAUGCACACCGGCCGCACGAGCACAACCGCCUACCUCACCUUGAGGUACUACUAGGCCCACGUGCUCAAACUUGGCCACUAAUCGACCGUUCUCUCAACAGUGAUGCUACUUUCACUGUUCGAUCUACCGGACUGACAUCCGAAAUUUUCGGACUACUCGGGUGUUCUCAUAAGCAUCAUGGCUCAACUCUCGCAAUUUACUAUUCAUAAUUGCUCUGAGAGUCGUUUCGCCACUUCUAUCUCUACCGCGAGUCUCACUUCUCGCCAUAGAUUACUUCUAGCACUUCGCUAGUGCCAUCUGGCUCUAUACCUGUACUGGCAGGUACUACGCCCUUACAUAAUAUAAAACUCCAUUUCUAGAGCAAUCAAAUCUAUCUCUAGAAAUCCACCAUGAGAGAGUGCUUAGAAGCUUACCUCUCCAAGAAGCUCCAACCAAGGAGAAGAUGAAGAAGAUGAGGAAGACCUCCUUCUUCUUCUCUUUCUUUCCUUUCCUUUCUUCUUCCUCUUCUUGUCUUCUAGAGAGAGAAAGAGAGAUAUGAGAGGGUGUGUGGGUGAGAAAUAAGAGAAAAGAGCUCUCAUACCCCUCACAUAGCCCCACAUGUUGCAUAAGUGCAAACAAACCCCUCAAAUUUUAUUCUUUUACAUUGCCCUCACUGGGCCACUUUCGGGUUCGGGGACCGGUCUUCCCGACGAGGGACCGGUCUCCGAGAGCUUCUCCCCGCAGUCAGCAGAGCUCACACCCGAUGCAACCGGUCUUUCUUUGGGGGACCGGUCUCUCAGGGACCGGUCUCUCCAGCAGGGACCGGUCUCCGAGCGUUGUCCACCAGGGACUUAGCCGAUUUUUUUUUCUCUCCUCUUGCUGCCUGCGCGUUCGGGGACCGGUCUCUCCCGGCAGGGACCGGUCUCCGAGAACAGAAAACUUGCAGUUUGUAGAUCUUCAUUUCCAAGGCUCUCGAAGAUCCCUAGUAAUGCACUUUUGCAUUAUUNUUUGACGCCUUCGGCCUUUCCAAAGCGUACCAACCUCGCUCUUUGGUCAAUUUGACCAAGGUUCGAUACUUGGUUACUGAAAUUUCGGUAUAUUACAUACCCACUCGAUAACUAGCCGAUCCCGGACGAAGUCCAACUCUCGGCUCUCGAGAAUUCACUUCGUUACAACCAUACUGUACCAGUACACCCCUGGUGUUAAACUGGUAACACAUAUUCCAGGAUUUCGGUUUUGCAUCGCUUCGACACCAAUUCAUGCCGAGCAACGCUAAAACUAUUCUAACUCUUUUAGAACUCAAUUCUAACCCUUCCAACAAUAUUGGAAUGUCAAUUGGACUUUGUCCAACUACUUCUCUCGACGCACUUUGGUCAAUUUGACCAAAAGUGAUCUAACACGAUGAGGAUUCCUUUAAUUUCUCAAAGAUCAUGAGAGACGCCAAAACUCGUGUAGUUCCCAAUCUCCGCACGCCUCAAAUUGCCCAGGGACACCACUUGGCCCAUCCCGCGCCGAUCUAAAAGAAGAUCGCCUACGCGGUGCUAUCGCUUCCUAAAACGCGACAACUCUCCGAAUUUUCUGCUAAUUUAUCUGUCCCGUUUCCAACAGAAAAUUCUAGAUCUUCUGUUUUCAUUCCGAUUUCAGCACAAGUCACUUCUGACUUAUAUUUUACUCCUACAAAUCCAAUAAAAAUAGUUUCUCACACUAUUUUUAUUUAUUUUUAUUUUUAUACUAAAAUCUGGUAUGUUACAUUCUCCACCCCUUAAAAGAAUUUCGUCCGCGAAAUUCAAACAACACCUCAAUUCAGCUCCUCGAGCAAUUGAGGGUACUAACUCAUUCUUCCACUCCAGAGCGGCUCCACACCAUCGUGUUUGAGAAGCGGCUCAUUCUAAGGGACAUGGGUUUGAUAUUAAACACAUUUGCAAAAGGUGAUACAAAAGUGCAUCACGGGUCUUGCAAGUCAUAGUGGCUGCGCAAGUCGGUGCUCGACGACUCUACACGCUCCAACACCACUCACCAUUCGAUACACAAAGAACUCUUCUUUGCACUUACCUUCCCUUCAGGGAAUACAUUCUGAUUCGAUCACCGACAUUGCUUAGGAGCAAUGUCACCGAUGCAUCGCUCCGUUAUGAGUGCUCUAAUUUCGCACUGACCAUUAACUUUAACGUGAGAUGGCCCACUUCGGCACCUCUCAAGUCUUAGUUCGCUUACGAGCAUAAUCUCCAACAUCACGUGGCUUUCCACUCGUUUGAUGUCUCACAAUGAGUACUUCAUC